AUGGGAAGAUCGUUUCCACACUACUACCGACUACCCAGCAACGGCAGACGGCAUUCCACGCCAGCAGGGGACUGGAGCGAGAGAGGCCCAAUCUCUUCCCUCCUGUUGGUCUGUCCCACUCUGCCCAGAACCAAAGUGACAUUUGCGUGGCCACAGAAGCCCGCGUUACAUAACUUCAAAAUAAUCUUCACACUCCUAGAUCUAUUUCGAAAUACGUGUUCAAAAAGCGCUACUGCAAAUCGAAAAGACGGAGGAAAAGAAGUGGAAGUCGGGUUCCUGCAUCGCCCAACGCGCGAAGGGGACAGGCAGGACGGCAACCUGCUACCUGCGAGCCGGGAGGGGGCUGAGACGCCUUCUAGGCUCCGGGUUACGAGUGGACUCCACCGGUUCGAGAAAUCUGGACGCCGCUCGUCAGGAAGACUGGUUCCCAAAAGCCUACUCGCACAGGCCGCAAACACAGCCGCGCUGCGCGGGGAGCUCCUGGAGGUCUUCCUCUUGCCCGGCGUGCAAUGCGGCCGGAGGCGUGGUGCGGAGGACCAUAGAGAAGAGCGGAGCUAGAGGGUACUCGUGUUGGCUCGGACUCACCAGGCCGAGACGGAAUCACCAUAGAGAAGCAGCGCCUCGUGGGGACUAGAAAGGCUCCAGCUGCGAAUGACGACCCACUCUGCCAUUUUUGAUUGGAGCUGAUUGAAUCUUAUGACUACGCGACGCCAUCUUGAGGUCAAGGUUCUGGCUGGGCACGGCGCGAGGGUUGUUAGCGGAUUUCUCCCUUUUUCAGGGAUUAGAAUUUUACCCUGCGGUUCAGUGAGGUUCUAUAGACGGAUAGCGGGGUCCGACCUAAAACCCCAGGAGAAACCCCAAGUGCUCAUUUUUCCCAUUAAAAACAACUACUUUGAUACCAAGAAAUAACUGGCAACCGCUGAAUUGGUUUUUUAAAAAGUGAAAACACACACUUAAAGCUGAGGUGCGAUAAUAGGGCCGAAGAGGUAGCUGGGCAGAUGUUUGCAAUACUUAAAAAGGCCUGUAAGAGUAUUCAACACAGCUUUCCUUCUGUGAUGCAAACUUACCAGGAAGUACUGAGCUUGCAAAGGUAAUGGAAGUUAAUGGAAAAUGGUCAUGAGUGAUUAUUCACUUCGUGGAUUUUAUACACAGUCACUAUUAGUAGUGCUUUGUUUCCCAACUGCUCGCUUCUCCAAAGGCUCACGAAUCCACUCUAAAGUCAUUGCCUGCCUGAGUGCCUGGUAUUUAUAGAGGUAAAGGGGAAAGAGACCCUUUCCUUUCAGGGAACAACUGCGGGCCACGUGGAAUUAAUGACAAACCCUGAUCUCCAUACAUAAAAUUCAAACAUUAUUACACAUUCUGUCUGCUUGUCUUAAUUUUAUUCUAUAGCACUUACCUUCUGUACCAUUUUUCUUAUUUAUUCUUGUUUAUUUUGUAUCCAUCUUCCUCCUCCCCACAAUAAACGUAAGGAGUGCGUGAAUGGUCUGUUUUAU
RNAcentral lists this long non-coding RNA (1493 nucleotides) under Oryctolagus cuniculus (rabbit). Its description in RNAcentral is "lncRNA (ENSOCUG00000030372.1)". The record is from RNAcentral. Lineage: Eukaryota; Metazoa; Chordata; Mammalia; Lagomorpha; Leporidae.